UCAAAAGUAUCCGAAAGAAAAUUUACAUAUCAAUUAAGUGUCUAACGUGUGUCGCACCUUUUUUUUUAGGCCAGUUGGCCUAGUUAGAUUUUCCGUCAAGCCGUGUUAUUAUUUUUUUUUUGCGUUCGAGACUCCGCCAGUCAGUGGAGGUGGGAACUAUCAGCGUGUGUUUAUACUCUGUGUACACAACAGCUUGCCUUCUGAGCCAACCAAAAAGGCUUUGGGUGGUUUUGCCAGGCGGACAGGGGGGCAGACUCACCUUGCUGCGGUGGUGCUUGCGCUCUCUCUCCUCCUCCAGCUCGGCCGUCCGCUGGUCCAGGAGCCCCCGCACGGAUGCCAGCUCCGCCUCGCUCUCCUCCAGCCUCCUCUGCAGGACCUCCAGCUGCUCGAACGACUGCUCCAGGAUCCGGAUGCGGUCCCGCAGCAUCUUGUCCCCGCCUUCCGGCUGGACGCCCCUCAGCUGGUUCAGCAGCAUGAACACCUGCAGGACAGACCGGACCGAGACUUUCGACCAUAUCCAACAUAAAAUGAGCCAUGUCUUCGCCGGGGGUUGCCUGGUUAUAUAAGCUGCACAAGGAGGAACUCAUCCAACAUUGCGAAGAAAAUCAAUUAGAGGCUUCGGCGACGGACACCGUGGCGGUGCUUCGCGCGCGCCUCGCUCAGUUCGUGCGUGACUCGUGUGCAGCCAUUCCUGAGCCCCGGACACGGCAGUCCCCUCCUGACGUCCGCCACCUGGGCGCUGCGCAGCUCCAGGUCCUCCUCCAGCUGCCGCCGGUCCUCGCGCAGCGCCGCCGCCUCCUCGGGCGACAGAUCCCCGCCGUCCAACUGCUCCAGCUGCGCCCGCACCUGCCGGCACACCGGAGCUGCAGUGCCCGGGCUUCACCCGGCAGUGCCCAGGCUGAUAAUUAAGGGAACCAGCAGGGGAG
Long non-coding RNA from Bacillus rossius redtenbacheri, 926 nucleotides. RefSeq lists it as uncharacterized. The record is from RefSeq and is a predicted model, not a curated record. The transcript is spliced from 3 exons. NCBI's taxonomy places the organism in Eukaryota, Metazoa, Arthropoda, Insecta, Phasmatodea, Bacillidae.